RNAcentral lists this ribosomal RNA (1039 nucleotides) under uncultured bacterium. RNAcentral's name for it is "bacterial SSU rRNA". It matches the Rfam family "Bacterial small subunit ribosomal RNA", at positions 59 to 1097 of the family's 1533-position model. The record is from RNAcentral.
CAGUCGAGGGGCAGCACGGGUAGCAAUAUCUGGUGGCGACCGGCGCAAGGGUGCGUAACGCGUGAGCAACAUGCCCGUAUCAGGGGAAUAAUCCAGGGAAACUUGGUCUAAUACCCCAUAGUAAAUAUUAAAGGCAUCUUUAAUAUUUUAAAGCUUUGGUGGAUACGGAUUGGCUCGCGUGACAUUAGCUAGAUGGUAAGGUAACGGCUUACCAUGGCUACGAUGUCUAGGGGUUCUGAGAGGAAGAUCCCCCACACUGGAACUGAGACACGGUCCAGACUCCUACGGGAGGCAGCAGUGAGGAAUAUUGGACAAUGGAUGGAAAUCUGAUCCAGCCAUGCCGCGUGCAGGAAGACGGCCCUAUGGGUUGUAAACUGCUUUUAUAUGGGAGCAAUAAGGCCUACGUGUAGGUCGAUGAGAGUACCAUAUGAAUAAGCACCGGCUAACUCCGUGCCAGCAGCCGCGGUAAUACGGAGGGUGCAAGCGUUAUCCGGAUUUAUUGGGUUUAAAGGGUGCGUAGGCGGUUUGAUAAGUCAGCGGUGAAAUAUUUCAGCUUAACUGGAAGGGUGCCGUUGAUACUGUCAGGCUUGAAUUUAGUUGCUGUGGGUGGAAUGUGUGGUGUAGCGGUGAAAUGCAUAGAUAUCACACAGAAUAUCGAUUGCGAAGGCAGCUCACAAAGCUAAAAUUGACGCUGAUGCACGAAAGUGUGGGGAUCAAACAGGAUUAGAUACCCUGGUAGUCCACACUGUAAACGAUGAUAACUCGCUGUCGGCGAUACAUAGUCGGUGGCCAAGCGAAAGCGAUAAGUUAUCCACCUGGGGAGUACGACCGCAAGGUUGAAACUCAAAGGAAUUGACGGGGGCCCGCACAAGCGGAGGAACAUGUGGUUUAAUUCGAUGAUACGCGAGGAACCUUACCCCGGGCUCGACGGUGCAUGAAUGAUUCAGAGAUGGAUUAGUCCUUCGGGACAUGUAUCGAGGUGCUGCAUGGUUGUCGUCAGCUCGUGCCGUGAGGUGUCGGCUUAAGUGCCAUAACGAGC